RNAcentral lists this ribosomal RNA (354 nucleotides) under uncultured Desulfocapsa sp. RNAcentral describes it as "bacterial SSU rRNA". It matches the Rfam family "Bacterial small subunit ribosomal RNA", at positions 1027 to 1382 of the family's 1533-position model. The record is from RNAcentral. Lineage: Bacteria; Pseudomonadati; Thermodesulfobacteriota; Desulfobulbia; Desulfobulbales; Desulfocapsaceae.
UUCGGAGACAGGUGCUGCACGGCUGUCGUCAGCUCGUGUCGUGAGAUGUUGGGUUAAGUCCCGCAACGAGCGCAACCCUUGUCUUUAGUUGCCAUCAUUAAGUUGGGCACUCUAAAGAGACUGCCGGUGUCAAACCGGAGGAAGGUGGGGAUGACGUCAAGUCCUCAUGGCCUUUAUGACCAGGGCUACACACGUACUACAAUGGCAGGUACAAAGGGCAGCCACUUAGCGAUAAGGCGCGAAUCCCGUAAAACCUGUCUCAGUCCGGAUUGGAGUCUGCAACUCGACUCCAUGAAGUUGGAAUCGCUAGUAAUCGCAGAUCAGCACGCUGCGGUGAAUACGUUCCCGGGCCUU